This 462-nucleotide ribosomal RNA is filed under the name uncultured bacterium. RNAcentral describes it as "partial 16S ribosomal RNA". It matches the Rfam family "Bacterial small subunit ribosomal RNA", at positions 29 to 523 of the family's 1533-position model. The record is from RNAcentral.
AAUGAACGUUGGCGGCAUGGAUUAGGCAUGCAAGUCGGGGGAAUCCCAGCAAUGGGGGAACCGGCGUAAGGGGCAGUAAGGCAUGGGUACCUACCUUGGGGUUCGGGAUAGCCAUCAGAGAUGGUGGGUAAUACCGGAUGACGUCGUGAGACCAAAGAUUUAUCGCCCUUAGAGGGGCGCAUGUGAUAUUAGCUAGUUGGUGGGGUAACGGCCCCCCAAGGCGAAGAUGUCUAGCGGGUGUGAGAGCACGACCCGCGCCACUCGCACUGAGACACUGGCGAGACACCUACGGGUGGCUGCAGUCGAGGAUCUUCGGCAAUGAGCGCAAGCUUGACCGAGCGAUGCCGCGUGAGCGAUGAAGGCCUUCGGGUUGUAAAGCUCUUUAGUGGGGGAGAAAAGCCGCAAGGUGUGAUCUAUCCCAAAAAUAAGCACGGGCUAAGUUCGUGCCAGCAGCCGCCGUAA